Molecule: long non-coding RNA, 1102 nt
Organism: Oncorhynchus tshawytscha (Chinook salmon)
Lineage: Eukaryota; Metazoa; Chordata; Actinopteri; Salmoniformes; Salmonidae
Source: Ensembl
GUGACCACAACAUCCAUCACAUGUCUGGCUGUGGGAAACUUAUGACAUCCUGUGUGUGUGUUUUUGCAUUUUCUGUGCCUUCUGGCCUUUGGGCUGUACCUGUGCUUCUUAAGCCAGGUGAAUGCACGUGAGUGAUGGCUUUAGCACCUUUCAUCAAACUUCCAAAAUGAUUGCAUUCUGUGAAAAGGGUGAAAAGAGAAAGUAUUUCAUAAAUUGGUCAGAACAUAAAUUGGUAACAAAUGCCUGAAUGUACUCUCAUUUAUUAUGGACCAAUCAAAUGAACUUUGAAUAAAUAAUUGUUGCAUAUAGAAUGUUGCCAGCACUAGACAUACGUAUAACAUGUGGAGAUCAGUCACAGGAAUUGAAAGAUGCUUAUUUUGUCUUCAGAAGGGCGCUUGAGCAGGAUGACGUAAAAUGAUGCUAAGGCCAGAGGAUGCGGACUAUGAGUAAUCCAGAAAAGAGAGUUUAUCACACGUAAAGAGUAAUGCUGUUGGACCUGCAGACAUCCUACAGCUGCUGAAGCAGCCUGCCCGGGACACCCGCUCAGCGGUGCGGGCUGUAGACAACAUGGAGAACACCCCUAGAAAGAUCUACCAAAAAACCACAGCAUCCAUAAGCGCUCACUCAACGCCACGGGUCUGUCCUGUUUCUCACACACCUGUUUCUCUAUCCUGUUUUUCUCACACGUCUCCUUUCUGGCAUUUCCCCGGGGUUUAGGAAAAAUACCCUGGCUGCUCCUUACACAUGUCCCCAUCAACACUCAGAUCACACAGCUCACUGGCUCUCUUGUCUGUCUUCCGCACAGACCUAAUCUCUGCUGAGGAUCUGGAGACUAUUGCUGAUCUGACUUGCUGCUCAGCCAUGGCCCGCCCCACUUCCUGCAAAACCACCCCAACCUGAAGAGGUUUCGCACAGCCACCAGUGUCUGUAACAACAGGUAAGCCAAAUAAUGGCAUCAAAGCAACAAGUCUCCUACACCAUCCUGUUGUUGCACAACACAUACUGGCCUAAAAUCACAGAAGGAAGGAAUUGACUAGUGACGCAAGCCAAAAACAUGAAUAUCACCAUGGCAUCUCCUUCACUUUUUCAAUUUGUAUUUCCC